This 347-nucleotide ribosomal RNA is filed under the name uncultured bacterium. Its description in RNAcentral is "bacterial SSU rRNA". It matches the Rfam family "Bacterial small subunit ribosomal RNA", at positions 917 to 1267 of the family's 1533-position model. The record is from RNAcentral.
GGGCCCGCACAAGCGGUGGAGCAUGUGGUUUAAUUCGAUGAUACGCGAGGAACCUUACCAGGGUUUAAAUGCAGAACGACAGGGGUGGAAACACCCCCUUCUUCGGACGGACUGCAAGGUGCUGCAUGGUUGUCGUCAGCUCGUGCUGUGAAGUGUCGGGUUAAGUCCCAUAACGAGCGCAACCCCCAUUUCUAGUUGCCAGCGGUUCGGCCGGGGACUCUAGAGAAACUGCCAGCGUAAGCUGUGAGGAAGGUGGGGAUGACGUCAAAUCAUCACGGCCCUUACAUCCUGGGCCACACACGUGCUACAAUGCCCAGCACAAUGGGAUGCAACACCGCGAGGUUGAG